GAUGAACGCUGGCGGCGUGCCUAAUACAUGCAAGUCGAGCGAACAGACGAGGAGCUUGCUCCUCUGACGUUAGCGGCGGACGGGUGAGUAACACGUGGAUAACCUACCUAUAAGACUGGGAUAACUUCGGGAAACCGGAGCUAAUACCGGAUAAUAUAUUGAACCGCAUGGUUCAAUAGUGAAAGACGGUUUUGCUGUCACUUAUAGAUGGAUCCGCGCCGCAUUAGCUAGUUGGUAAGGUAACGGCUUACCAAGGCAACGAUGCGUAGCCGACCUGAGAGGGUGAUCGGCCACACUGGAACUGAGACUGGGUCCAGACUCCUACGGGAGGCAGCAGUAGGGAAUCUUCCGCAAUGGGCGAAAGCCUGACGGAGCAACGCCGCGUGAGUGAUGAAGGUCUUCGGAUCGUAAAACUCUGUUAUUAGGGAAGAACAAAUGUGUAAGUAACUAUGCACGUCUUGACGGUACCUAAUCAGAAAGCCACGGCUAACUACGUG
This 497-nucleotide ribosomal RNA is filed under the name uncultured bacterium. RNAcentral's name for it is "partial 16S ribosomal RNA". It matches the Rfam family "Bacterial small subunit ribosomal RNA", at positions 28 to 507 of the family's 1533-position model. The record is from RNAcentral.